GUUCUUUCAUAUGACUUGUCUUGAACAAUUUCAUUCCCAAAGUGACUAUUUUCCAUUCCAGAAUCUCUCAGUGUAACCAAAAUUAGGCAUAAUAAAGAAAAAAUCAUAUCCAAGACAUGGUAAUGAUUUGCAUUUUUAUGUUGAGCUGAGACAUUAGAAAACUAUAAGCAGCUCAUCCAUCGACAUAUUAGAUGCCAUGACAGUGACUUUUAAAACAACGGCCUCCCAAACCUUUUCAACCCGCAAUCUACUACUUUUAUCUAGUACUUACUUCACCCUCUUUUACCUAGCCGAUGCUUAAUUGCAAGAGGAGACCCAUCAAGAGUUCUAACAGUAAUUAUAACAUCCUAAUCCUUAUGCCAGUUACUGUACCAGGGAAUCGGUGUUGAUGUGUUCUGAGGCGGUUGAGUCGUAGUCAUACAAUGCUGUUGCUGCCAAUGAUGCAAACCAUCAUUUACACUAACUGCACCAGCAUCGACUGCAAUUCUUGGUUCAACAUCCACACUGUUAUCUUCAAUAUCCAUAGCUACUCCUUCCAUAUCUUCAGCAUCCAUCAUAUCUGAAACAUCAGGUUGACUAAGGACUUCAGCUUCUGCUGCAGAAGGAAAUUGAGAUGGAACCCAAGGAACAACUGCCAGACAUUCUUUCGCAGAACUAGAGUCGUCCUGUUGCGCUGCUUCAUUAGCAUCAACUAGUCUAAAUGCAUUUGCUGUGUUAUCCCAGAAGACUUGACUUUUGAAACCAUUAAGAAACUGGGGAUCCACUUUAACGGAGAAAUUAGAAGGGGAAUGCAUAGGCUGUGUGUUCAUAGGCUUGAAUAGCACAAUUGCCCUCUCUUCAUUCGCGGGCACACUUGGCAGUUCCUCAAUUACUAGACCCCUCUUUACUGCAUUGCUUCCGAAGCUGGGAUAAGUUGUUGCUUGCUCAAAAGCUAUAGGAAUCUCUGGUUCUUCAACCUCUUCUAUUAUGGGAGGCAACACCGCAUCCAGUCGACGAAUUUUUCUGGCGGGAGAGGAAAGUGAAAAAUCAGAGAAUUCAUCAUUAACAUCUUCCAAAUCCUUCCUCUUCAUCUUCAAUGUAUAGUAUGG
This 1088-nucleotide unclassified non-coding RNA is filed under the name Hevea brasiliensis (rubber tree). The record is from RNAcentral. Lineage: Eukaryota; Viridiplantae; Streptophyta; Magnoliopsida; Malpighiales; Euphorbiaceae.